UCCCCACAUCGGCGGGGCCGGCGCCGCCGCUGGAGGACGAAAAUCUUCUCCUAGAGAUCCUGCUCCGCCUCCCCCCCAUUACCAUCCUCGCUCCCCUGAGCUUCCCUCGUCUGCAAGCUUUGGCGCGGCCUCGUCUCCGACCCCAAAUUUCUUCGUCACUUCCGCGCCCACCAAUGCAAACCCCCGCUCCUAGGCUUUUUCGUCAGAGGCAUCGACGGGCCCUCAUUCACGCCCACGCUGGACACGCCCGACCGCAUCCCCGCGGCGCGGUUCUCGCUACCGCAGAGCCGCGGGGAGAGCUGGGCCUUCGUCGGCUGCCGCCACGGCCUCGCCCUCCUCAUCAACCAUACGCGUCUCAUGCCGUCGUUUGGGACCCCAUCACCGGCCACCGGCGCUGCGUGGCCUUUCCACCGGGCAUCCACACCUACCAUUGGGUCCGAAGCGCGGCGCUGCUCUGCCCUUCCGGCACAGACCACGUGCACGGCCACGACUGGGCUCGCGCCCUUUCAAGCUGGUCUUGGUGGGCGUCGGCAUGAAUGCUGAACCCUCUGCAUUUGCUUGCAUCUACGAUUCAGAAUCCGGUGAAUGGGGAAAUAUCAUCUGAGCAGGUACUGCACAGCAUGUUACUUAUGCAAUGCGUGCCAGCAGCGUCCUGGUUGGGAAUGCACUUCAUUGGUUGCUUAUUGGGGAUGGAAUUCUCAAAUUUGAUUUCGAGAUGCAGCGCUUAGUGGUGAUCGAGAGACCAUCAGUAGUCUCGUGUAUCCGCUUUCAGAUAUUGCGGACACAUGAAAGUAGGCUUGGCUUUGCCAUGUGGACAGAAGUGGGCAUGGAAAUAUGGGAGAGAAAGAGCAAUUCAGAUGGUGUCCUCAGAUGGGCGCUUCAGCAGAUCAUCCAACUUGACAAGCUCCUUCCACUAGGACCAUCGAGAUGUAGAGGUUAUAUAGCGGGGUUUGAUGAGGACACCAAUGUGAUAUUUCUGUCAAUGUAUACUGGCCGUUCCUUCAUGAUCCAACUCGAGUCGAUGCAACUCAGAAGUAUUUCUGGAACACAUCACGACCACUUUUAUCCCUACACAAAUUUCUUUACUGCAGGCAGAGGGAUUGGUGAUGGAAAUGAUGGGGUUAAAAUUUUGUACAAUACAUGAGACGAUCUUCCUGAAGGAUCUGCUGAUGUGCUGUGUCGACUGAAAAGGAUCCCUCUGCGCUUUUGAAGUGCCAACAUGAAGAAUUUCCUAUGUUUCGUGACCCUGAUACUAUUGAUGUGGUAAAGGGUGAAUAUGGCCAUCUUGCAACUGUCAACCAUGGCGUGUGCUUUAAAAGUCUAGUUUCGGUUGAAUCCACCAUAAUAACGGUUUAUCCUUGUCAAAUUUGAGGACCAGCCAAAAUCUGAGUUCACUUUGCUUAACGCGGUAAACCUGAACAUUUCCAUCUUGGUCGGUGUCUCUGUCCUGACCCGGCGGGGUAACCGGGUUCUGCUGAACCGUUUCGCUGUUUGAUCUGCUGCCUAUGCCACAUGCUUUCAGUCUGAUUUUCAGACACAA
Molecule: long non-coding RNA, 1540 nt
Organism: Triticum dicoccoides
Lineage: Eukaryota; Viridiplantae; Streptophyta; Magnoliopsida; Poales; Poaceae
Exons: 3
Source: RefSeq, a predicted model, not a curated record